CGACCGGACUACUCUUCUCCUGCUUCCUACCUAGCACGGAUGUGGUCGGAGGAACAGGAGCUGGUCGCCGUGGAAAGUCAAGUUUUAUCCACGGCCGCUUCAACGAGGAAGCGGCGUUCACGCCGCCGUCGCGCAUCGCAACGGCCUGUCUUGCCCUCCACUGAGCAACAUGAGGAUGCUGUGGAGGGCAUGGAUUUUGACCUCGAGGAGCGGCAGCGCGCCGCAUGCUCGCAACUAGAGGAAGAGCUCCGGUGGGAGCCGUGGCUCGCUCCUAACUAUGACGAGGAUUUCCAGGGAACUCGCCUGGCUUUCGGGGGUCCCCUGAGCUUCCAGGAACUCUCACCUACCGCUCCGUCAUCACCCAGUUCCCCAGCCUCUGCGACACCGCCUGGCGCGCAUGAGGCGCCGCUGUCUGGUUCGUCGGAAACGUCAAUCAAGAAGAAACGACGUGCGCGUCGCCGUCGCGCUGCGCAACGACCGGAGGUGAGUGAAUGCAGUCUCUCAUCAUCAGCCCCCGUUGAAACAUUAGAAGAUGAACUAGAUUCAGAAUUACAGAUUCAAGAGUCAAGGUUAAAAGAGGCUCAUAGCAUGAAGAUGGCUGACUCUAGUACUGACAAUGGUGUGGUCAGUUCGUCUGGCUUCUAUGAACAAGGAGUAAGACCCACACAGACUGUGAAUCCUAGCACUGGUGAGUUUCAGCCUGUGUUCUUGUCACCUCCACCCGAACAGGAGUUUGACUGUCCAGCCCCUAAGCCGACUGGGGAAUCCCCUGUUUCGUGUGUUUCUGUUAACGAAAAUAAAGAGACUGUUUCAGAAUCAGCCAGUGCUAACUUUAGGCUGAGUAAUGCACCGCUAACCGAGCCACAGCCAAGAGAUUUUGUUUCAAAGAUAAUCAUGGACAAACCUAGUUUGAAAGAGACUUUCACAGACCUUAAUGUUAAUUGUGUGGGGAGUGGGGUGGAAGUGUUUUCUUCUGUGUCAUGUAAUGUGCCUGGGGUUCCAUCACAGACUGAGUUAUCCGUGGCUAACGCCUCCCUUCCUGAGUCUGCUCUGCUCACCAAUGAGCUACUCGAAGAAGGCCCCUGUGCUUUCAUAGCAAGUAAGGCUAUUUCAGAGGAGGCAGGUCAUGAAAUAAAGUAUGAAAGGACUGUGUGUGAGAUGAUGUGUGAUCAUGUUUUGCCUGCUGUUCCUAUAUUCAAUGAACUGCAGACUGAAAAUGCUGAUCAUGAACUCACGUUAAUCCGUCAAGACGAAAACAUAAAUGCAGAUCACGGUAACCUGGACUGUGGAACGUCACAACAUGAAUUCUGUCUUCCUGAAGGUAAUAAACAGGGUGAUUUUGAACUGUUUUGCUCCAGCACCGUUACCUCCAAUCAGGAGAUGGAGGCUGAGAUCAAGGUUAAUGUGACACCACUUUCUCCUGUCUCUGUGAACUCAUUACUAGAGAAGAUUUUGACCUCGAACAAUGGCGCUGCUGCUCACUCACAGCCUGAAGCGUCACCUGCUUCAGUUAAUGGUUCAAGUACUGUUUUACCUGUACCUGUC
Molecule: long non-coding RNA, 1545 nt
Filed under: Oreochromis niloticus (Nile tilapia)
Lineage: Eukaryota; Metazoa; Chordata; Actinopteri; Cichliformes; Cichlidae
Description: lncRNA (ENSONIG00000039422.1)
Source: RNAcentral